This 73-nucleotide transfer RNA is filed under the name Xenophallus umbratilis. Its description in RNAcentral is "tRNA-Thr". It matches the Rfam family "tRNA". From Rfam's summary of the family: Transfer RNA (tRNA) molecules are approximately 80 nucleotides in length. Lineage: Eukaryota; Metazoa; Chordata; Actinopteri; Cyprinodontiformes; Poeciliidae. The record is from RNAcentral.
GCAACAGUAGCUCAGCCCUAAGAGCAUCGGCCUUGUAAGCCGAAAGUCGAGGGUUAAACUCCCUCCCGUUGAU